CCUCUUUGUGAUUCUGAGUUUCUGACAUACUUACUGGCUGGUUUAGACUCCUCCUACAACUCUAUAGUCACCUCUAUUGCAACUCGAGUUGACUAGUUUUCUCUUGAGGAUGUCUUUGCCCAUUUACUCAGCUUUGAAC
This is a small nucleolar RNA of Juglans microcarpa x Juglans regia, 139 nucleotides long. RefSeq annotates it as small nucleolar RNA Z247. The transcript has a single exon. Lineage: Eukaryota; Viridiplantae; Streptophyta; Magnoliopsida; Fagales; Juglandaceae. The record is from RefSeq and is a predicted model, not a curated record.